This 397-nucleotide ribosomal RNA is filed under the name Yersinia enterocolitica subsp. palearctica YE-P1. RNAcentral's name for it is "bacterial SSU rRNA". It matches the Rfam family "Bacterial small subunit ribosomal RNA", at positions 1 to 394 of the family's 1533-position model. Lineage: Bacteria; Pseudomonadati; Pseudomonadota; Gammaproteobacteria; Enterobacterales; Yersiniaceae. The record is from RNAcentral.
AAAUUGAAGAGUUUGAUCAUGGCUCAGAUUGAACGCUGGCGGCAGGCCUAACACAUGCAAGUCGAGCGGCAGCGGGAAGUAGUUUACUACUUUGCCGGCGAGCGGCGGACGGGUGAGUAAUGUCUGGGAAACUGCCUGAUGGAGGGGGAUAACUACUGGAAACGGUAGCUAAUACCGCAUAACGUCUUCGGACCAAAGUGGGGGACCUUCGGGCCUCACGCCAUCGGAUGUGCCCAGAUGGGAUUAGCUAGUAGGUGGGGUAAUGGCUCACCUAGGCGACGAUCCCUAGCUGGUCUGAGAGGAUGACCAGCCACACUGGAACUGAGACACGGUCCAGACUCCUACGGGAGGCAGCAGUGGGGAAUAUUGCACAAUGGGCGCAAGCCUGAUGCAGCCA